Long non-coding RNA from Cyprinus carpio (common carp), 214 nucleotides. RefSeq lists it as uncharacterized. Lineage: Eukaryota; Metazoa; Chordata; Actinopteri; Cypriniformes; Cyprinidae. The record is from RefSeq and is a predicted model, not a curated record. The transcript has 3 exons.
GGCGACACUGCUCUCACUCUGCCUCACGGUGAGCGAGAGGUCAGCCCUCAGCAAAGGGGACAAGGUCAAAGUGUUGAGUGUAGGUGAAGGGGGAUUCUGGGAAGGAACAGUGAAGGGCAGAACAGGCUGGUUUCCUGCUGAAUGUGUAGAAGAGGUACUGCCCCAAACCCAGGAGCAGCAUACAGAGAGCCGCAGUGAGAAGGCAAAGAGGAAG